This 468-nucleotide ribosomal RNA is filed under the name uncultured bacterium. RNAcentral's name for it is "partial 16S ribosomal RNA". It matches the Rfam family "Bacterial small subunit ribosomal RNA", at positions 28 to 507 of the family's 1533-position model. The record is from RNAcentral.
GACGAACGCUGGCGGCGUGCUUAACACAUGCAAGUCGAACGGAAAGGCCCUGCUUUUGUGGGGUGCUCGAGUGGCGAACGGGUGAGUAACACGUGUGUAACCUGCCCUUGACUUUGGGAUAACUCCAGGAAACUGGGGCUAAUACCGGAUAGGAGCUCCUGCUGCGUGGUGGGGGUUGGAAAGAUUCGGCGGUUGGGGAUGGACUCGAGGCUUAUCAGCUUGUUGGGGGGGUAGUGGCUUACCAGGGGUUUGACGGGUAGGCGGCCUGGGAGGGUGACCGGCGACCUUGGGCCUGAGGUACGCCCCAGACGGCUACGGGAGGCAGCAGGGGGGAACAUUACGCAAUGGGCGGAAGCCUGAUGCAGAAGCGCCGCGUGCGGGAUGACGGCCUUCGGGUUGUAAACAGAUUUCGCCUGUGACGAAGCGUGAGUGACGGUAAUGGGUAAAGAAGCACCGGCUAACUACGUG